Molecule: ribosomal RNA, 468 nt
Filed under: uncultured bacterium
Lineage: Bacteria
Description: partial 16S ribosomal RNA
Rfam family: Bacterial small subunit ribosomal RNA
Source: RNAcentral
GACGAACGCUGGCGGCGUGCUUAACACAUGCAAGUCGAACGGAAAGGCCCUGCUUUUGUGGGGUGCUCGAGUGGCGAACGGGUGAGUAACACGUGAGUAACCUGCCCUUGACUUUGGGAUAACUUCAGGAAACUGGGGCUAAUACCGGAUAGGAGCUCCUGCUGCAUGGUGGGGGUUGGAAAGUUUCGGCGGUUGGGGAUGGCUUCGCGGCUUUUCAGCUUGUUGGUGGGGUAGUGGCCUACCAAGGCUUUGACGGGUAGCCGGCCUGAGAGGGUGACCGGCCACAUUGGGACUGAGAUACGGCCCAGACUCCUACGGGAGGCAGCAGUGGGGAAUAUUGCACAAUGGGCGGAAGCCUGAUGCAGCAACGCCGCGUGCGGGAUGACGGCCUUCGGGUUGUAAACCGCUUUCGCCUGUGACGAAGCGUGAGUGACGGUAAUGGGUAAAGAAGCACCGGCUAACUACGUG